RNAcentral lists this ribosomal RNA (546 nucleotides) under uncultured bacterium. Its description in RNAcentral is "bacterial SSU rRNA". It matches the Rfam family "Bacterial small subunit ribosomal RNA", at positions 777 to 1320 of the family's 1533-position model. The record is from RNAcentral.
AAUAGAUACCCGGGUAGUCCACGCCGUAAACGAUGAGUGCUAAGUGUUAGGGGGUUUCCGCCCCUUAGUGCUGCAGCUAACGCAUUAAGCACUCCGCCUGGGGAGUACGGUCGCAAGACUGAAACUCAAAGGAAUUGACGGGGGCCCGCACAAGCGGUGGAGCAUGUGGUUUAAUUCGAAGCAACGCGAAGAACCUUACCAGGUCUUGACAUCCCACUGACCGCUAUGGAGACAUAGUUUUCCCUUCGGGGACAGUGGUGACAGGUGGUGCAUGGUUGUCGUCAGCUCGUGUCGUGAGAUGUUGGGUUAAGUCCCGCAACGAGCGCAACCCUUGAUCUUAGUUGCCAUCAUUUAGUUGGGUACUCUAAGGUGACUGCCGGUGACAAACCGGAGGAAGGUGGGGAUGACGUCAAAUCAUCAUGCCCCUUAUGACCUGGGCUACACACGUGCUACAAUGGACGGUACAAACGGUUGCCAACCCGCGAGGGGGAGCUAAUCCGGAUAAAACCGUUCUCAGUUCGGAUUGUAGGCUGCAACUCGCCUACA